UGAUAUUACCUUAUUAUUAGUGUCGUCCAAAACUGGUGCCAGAAGACUCGGUAAGGCCAGAGACACAAACGUUAAUCGUCUUAAUCAGGCGUAAAGGGUUUGUAGGCGGCUUUAAAAUUUACUUAUAUAAAUAAAAAGUAAAAAAUAAAAGCUAGAAUCAAAUAGAGGAUAUAUGAAAUAACGCUUAGAGUAGGUCUGAUAUCCUUAGAUACUAAGUAGAAUAUUAAAGGCGAAAGCUUUUUUCCAUUAAUGAUUGACGCUCAGAAACGAAGGUGAGGAUAGGAAAUAGGAUUUGAUACCCAGAAUACCCCUCUCUGUCAACGAUGAAUGGUAGUUAUUAGUAAAAAUUUAUUAAUGGCAAUGUUAACACGAUAACCAUUCCGCCUUGUGAGUACAACUGCAAAGRUGAAAACAAAAAAA
RNAcentral lists this ribosomal RNA (420 nucleotides) under Russula rubra. Its description in RNAcentral is "partial 12S small subunit ribosomal RNA". It matches the Rfam family "Bacterial small subunit ribosomal RNA", at positions 470 to 908 of the family's 1533-position model. Lineage: Eukaryota; Fungi; Basidiomycota; Agaricomycetes; Russulales; Russulaceae. The record is from RNAcentral.